This is a long non-coding RNA of Trifolium pratense (red clover), 801 nucleotides long. RefSeq lists it as uncharacterized. NCBI's taxonomy places the organism in Eukaryota, Viridiplantae, Streptophyta, Magnoliopsida, Fabales, Fabaceae. The transcript has 2 exons. The record is from RefSeq and is a predicted model, not a curated record.
UCCAAACGCAGUGACUUCGCGAAACGCAGUGACUUCGUCUUCUUCGUCUUUGUCCCACAAAUCCCAAAUUGUGUGACUUCGAAAUCCCAAAUCAUGGCAUAAAACUCUUUGAAAUCCCUAAAUCCCAAAUCCCUAAAUCCCAAAUCACAGCAAACACAUAAAAUUCUUCUCUUUGAAACCCUAAAUCCCUAAAUCCCUAAAUCGUCUUCUUCGAUCUCUUUGAAACCCCUAAAUCAUACCGUAGCUAAUCGUACACCUCAAGGCCAGCGUCAAUCCGUUCAGCACGAAGGUUUAAUCAAUUCCAUAUUAUUCCUUCAAUUUCGCAAUCUUAGGGUUUCAUAUUCGAACUAAUUAUCGGUUUCGGAAUUUGAAUUAUGCGAAUCACGCGUUUGUGAUUUUUUCGAUUUUAAUUUCUCUUUGUUUAUUUUCUGUUACUUAUAGUAUGUUCUUGCUGUUGCUGCUGCAUAAGUUUCUGGUUUUUGUGCUUCUCACUAUGUUUCUGGUUGCUUCACAGUUCUGUUUCUGAAGUCUGAAUGCGAACCCUCUGCGAGACCACCGUGAGGCAACGCGAAAGUUGUUUGCUACCACAGCAUCACUAUCUUCAAUCAAUGGCUCCAGGUAACCGAAUAAGAAGAGUCAAGAAGAUGGUAGCACUAAUUAAGGAUUAUGAAGCAACAUCAAUAACUAGGAAAUGUUUAGAUAUUUUAAGAACUUAUUUUGCCAUAAUGUUUUGUAUGUUUAACCACUAUACUAAUGUUUAUGUUUUAGUUUUUCAAUGUUUGAACUACAUUGAUUUUUUUU